AGCUCUUGCUUCAGUGGUUGGGAGCAAAACCUUCGUGUUCGAGGUCGGGAGUUCGAACCUUACCUCUUACAAAUAUUUUUGGAUCUCGUAUAUGCUUGAUAUACGGACGUAUAUACGGUAUGUACGGUAUACAUAAGUAUAUACGGUCUGUACGGUAUGCAUAAGUAUAUACAGUUGUAUGGUAUGCAUACGUAUAUACGGUCUGUACGGUAUGUAUACGUAUAUACGGUAUGUACAAUUUCAUACCGUAGCCGAGCUAAAAAGUUGUGGGCCGAUUGGUAGGCCCAAAUAGUAAGCCCAAUUGUUCGGCCGAUUUGUAGGCCCAAAUAGUAAGCCCAAUUGUUCGGCCGAUUGGUAGGCACAAAUAGUAAGCCCAAUUGUUCGGCCCGAAUGGUAGGCCCAAAUGUUAAGCCCAAUUGUUCGGCCCAAAUGGUAGGCCCAAAUGUUAAACCCAAAUUGGUUCGGGCCGGUUCGAAAUGUGGAUGGUUCGGUUUCUUCGGCCCAAUUGGCCAGCCCUGAUGCUUAGCCCAAGGAUUGAGCAAGCCCAAGUCAUCAUCACUGGGUGUCAGAUUUUAUUGGCAUGCUUUUGGGGAUGAUUUGUUUUGAGUGAUGCAUCUCUAUUGUUGUGUAGAAUAGUGCAUGCUUAAGUUUUACUAUAGAGAAUUACCGUGAUGCUAAUUGAGUAGCGAAACGCUUUGUGAGAAUGUUUACUGUGCUUGUAUGCCAGUACAGGAUGAUGAUCUAUGUGAAGAUCUAUGUGAUGAUCUAUGAGAUGAUCUAUGUGAAGAUCUAUGUGAGGAUCCAUGUGGUGAUUUUGUGUGAGUUUACUUUUGUGAUGAAAGAAUUUGUGGCCUUAGGAAUGUAUUUUUAUACAAAGGGCUGUGGCUUUGUAGAUUACUACAGCUUUGGAAAGGAUGGAGAUUCGAUGGUUAGGUUAACCGUAAUCGAGAGCAAUUAACUUGCGCUUAAAUUUCGGGACGAAAUUUCUUUAAGGAGGGUGGAUUGUAAUACCCGAAAAAUUCAAGUUAAUUUCCGAUGACGUUUUGGAAAUGAUUUCGUGGUCGUGGACACGAGUACGAAGCUUAGAGGAGUGUGGAAUUAGUUCGAACGAUUUUAUUUUGAAAACUGAACGUUUUAGGGGGGUCAAAGGAGUUGACUUUUUAUACAUUGGGAAAUUGGGAAAACUUCCUUCAUGAAAGUUGUAGAGCGCGUCGAUACGAGUUCGUGGACAUAUGGAACGUAAUAUUCGGAGUUCGUAUGAAUAAGUUACGAAUAUUUGAAAAUUGGGAUUUUCUAUAAAUAUGAAAAAAAAUCCGAAUAUUGCAAAUGAGGACAGAAUUUCUGGAACUCCAGAAAUUUCUCCCCAUUUCUCUCCCGAGCCCAGCCGCGACCCCCUCCCUUCGUCACCUUCGUUCUUCCUCAUCCGGCCACCGAUUGAUGUGAAACAAAGUGGGUUUUUCUGGUCUCGACCCCCUUUACGAGUUUGUAGAAGAAAUCGAAGUGAAAUACGAGCUGUAUGAGGCUCUACAAGGUCGAGAAGAGAGCCUCGUCGGAGACGAAAUCGCUCUUCCCCACUUUUUCUGGGCUCUACUUUGUCUGGCCAUAUCUUCCUCUACAGGCCUCCGAUCGACCUGAUUCCAAAAGCAAUUUUUCUCACCGUGAAGUUUUCUACAACUUUCCAGAAGACAUCGACUUGAGAUAACCAUCGUGGUGGCCGCUAGAAGACCGAGAAGCCGCACAGCCGAGCUGGAAAUCGUCUUCCUUCGCCACCUUGGUUCUCCCAGCUCCGGCCACUAUAGCUCGAGUUCUUUGAGGGCUUUUCUAGCCCAGAGGAAGUAGAAGCUAUCCCCAAGAAGGCUUGCAGCGAUUUGAUCCGGGGUGAUCGAAUUUUGAAGAUUGGGAAACUAGGGUUCUUCGGGUUUCAAAACUUGCGAGGUGAUUGACGGUCUCCCUUGGGUGAACGAUUUCGGUGUGUAUUGUGUUGAAUUGAAGACGCAGCGGGAAUAUCGAGGUGAGUAAAUCGCACAUGGUUCAUUCACGAACCGAAAUUCGGUGAUUUUAUUUAAUUGAGAAAUUGUGGAAAUUGUUUUACUAAAAUAAAUAUUUGUUUUAAAUUAUAUGGACUUGAUCGACUACGGUCCAUAGGUAAGUAAAAUGUAUUUAAACUAUAAAAAUGAAUUUCUAGAUUUUAUUGCAUGUGAACUAUAGUUGGUAUUAGUGGUCACUCUUGUGUGGGUGACUACGUAUAUAUAUAUUUACGUGGAAUAUAUAUUGGAUGGUGUGAUUUACUGAGUUA
Molecule: long non-coding RNA, 2296 nt
Organism: Rosa rugosa (rugosa rose)
Lineage: Eukaryota; Viridiplantae; Streptophyta; Magnoliopsida; Rosales; Rosaceae
Exons: 2
Source: RefSeq, a predicted model, not a curated record